Molecule: ribosomal RNA, 506 nt
Filed under: uncultured bacterium
Lineage: Bacteria
Description: partial 16S ribosomal RNA
Rfam family: Bacterial small subunit ribosomal RNA
Source: RNAcentral
AUUGAACGCUGGCGGCAGGCCUAACACAUGCAAGUCGAACGGUAACACAGAGGAGCUUGCUCCUUGGGUGACGAGUGGCGGACGGGUGAGUAAUGUCUGGGAAACUGCCCGAUGGAGGGGGAUAACUACUGGAAACGGUAGCUAAUACCGCAUAACGUCUUCGGACCAAAGUGGGGGACCUUCGGGCCUCACACCAUCGGAUGUGCCCAGAUGGGAUUAGCUAGUAGGUGGGGUAAUGGCUCACCUAGGCGACGAUCCCUAGCUGGUCUGAGAGCAUGACCAGCCACACUGGAACUGAGACACGGUCCAGACUCCUACGGGAGGCAGCAGUGGGGAAUAUUGCACAAUGGGCGCAAGCCUGAUGCAGCCAUGCCGCGUGUAUGAAGAAGGCCUUCGGGUUGUAAAGUACUUUCAGCGGGGAGGAAGGCGUUAAGGUUAAUAACCUUGGCGAUUGACGUUACCCGCAGAAGAAGCACCGGCUAACUCCGUGCCAGCAGCCGCCGUAA